This 103-nucleotide ribosomal RNA is filed under the name Acanthosepion pharaonis. Lineage: Eukaryota; Metazoa; Mollusca; Cephalopoda; Sepiida; Sepiidae. The record is from RNAcentral.
AUCACACUCAAAAACUGGUUCCCAUAUGAUCACCAAAGUUAAGCAAUGUUGAGCCUGGUCUGUACCUAGAUGGGUGACUGCUUGGAAAUACCAGGUGCUGUAA